AGUGGAUCUGGUGUGCAGUGAACCCGCUUACAUGGUCACGUCCUUCACUAACAGCAAGAUCGGCCUCUUCAACAUGGAGACCCAACAACUAAUGCAGAGCCUCGAGUCUACUACUGAGUCUGAUUAACAAAGUGCUGCGUCACAUCACCAUCAUGGCUCAGGAGGACCACCACAUCAAGUCCUACGACAGCAGCACGGGGAAACCCAUCCACUCCAUGGUGGCCCAUUUGGAUGCUGUUACGAGCCUUGCUGUGGAUCCAAAUGACCUGCUUGUGAUGUCUGG
Molecule: long non-coding RNA, 283 nt
Organism: Pangasianodon hypophthalmus (striped catfish)
Lineage: Eukaryota; Metazoa; Chordata; Actinopteri; Siluriformes; Pangasiidae
Exons: 3
Source: RefSeq, a predicted model, not a curated record